UCAACAGGGCAUGAAACCGUUAAGAGGUAAACGGGUGGGGUCUGCACAGUCUGCCCGGAGGAUCAAACCGGCGGGUCUGGUUGGGAUCGCGGAUCCCCUUGGGUGGGGACCGUCGCCUGGCAUCGGCAUCUCCGUCGAGCGCACUUCUUCCGAGGCGGAGAGCCGCGACCGGCUCCGGUUUGGCCAGGAAGGGUCGGGGGGUGAAGGUGGCCCCAGGGCUGUGGGCAGUGUCCUCGCGCCUUCUCUCCUCCUGCCGGGGGAGGGACGGGGCCCCUCGCUCCCGGUGCGUGCGUCAACCGGGGCGGACUGUCCUCAGUCCGUCUCCGACCGCUCCGUGCCAUAAGGGCGGGGAUCAGGCCCUCGUAAAGGGUGCUCGAGAUUGGUGGCGAGGUCGGCCACCCACCCUACCCGUCUUGAAACACAGACACAAGGAGUCUAACACACUCGU
This 448-nucleotide ribosomal RNA is filed under the name Capoeta damascina. RNAcentral's name for it is "partial 28S large subunit ribosomal RNA". The record is from RNAcentral. Lineage: Eukaryota; Metazoa; Chordata; Actinopteri; Cypriniformes; Cyprinidae.